RNAcentral lists this ribosomal RNA (253 nucleotides) under uncultured bacterium. RNAcentral's name for it is "partial 16S ribosomal RNA". It matches the Rfam family "Bacterial small subunit ribosomal RNA", at positions 524 to 776 of the family's 1533-position model. The record is from RNAcentral.
UACGGAGGGUGCAAGCGUUGUCCGGAUUUAUUGGGUUUAAAGGGUACGUAGGCGGGCCUUUAAGUCAGUGGUGAAAGCCCAUAGCUCAACUAUGGAAAUGCCAUUGAUACUGGAGGUCUUGAGUUCAGUUGAGGUAAGCGGAAUUUAUGGUGUAGCGGUGAAAUGCAUAGAUACCAUAAAGAACACCGAUUGCGAAGGCAGCUUACUGGGCUUGAACUGACGCUGAGGCACGAAAGCGUGGGGAGCAAACAGG